RNAcentral lists this unclassified non-coding RNA (336 nucleotides) under soil metagenome. RNAcentral describes it as "partial contains 5.8S ribosomal RNA, internal transcribed spacer 2, and large subunit ribosomal RNA". The stretch from base 1 to 120 matches the Rfam family "5.8S ribosomal RNA", at positions 35 to 154 of the family's 154-position model. The record is from RNAcentral.
GAUGAAGAACGUAGCGAAAUGCGAUAAGUAAUGUGAAUUGCAGAAUUCAAUGAAUCAUCGAAUCUUUGAACGCACAUUGCGCCCGCCAGUAUUCUGGCGGGCAUGCCUGUUCGAGCGUCAUUUCAACCAUCAAGCCCCAGGCUUGUGUUGGGGACCUGCGGCUGCCGCAGGCCCUGAAAACCAGUGGCGGGCUCGCUGUCACACCGGGCGUAGUAGAUUUUAUCUCGCUCAGGGCGUGCUGCGGGUUCCGGCCGUUAAAAAGCCUUUUUUACCCAAGGUUGACCUCGGAUCAGGUAGGAAGACCCGCUGAACUUAAGCAUAUCAAUAAGCGGAGGA